Molecule: long non-coding RNA, 3557 nt
Filed under: Selaginella moellendorffii
Lineage: Eukaryota; Viridiplantae; Streptophyta; Lycopodiopsida; Selaginellales; Selaginellaceae
Description: long non-coding RNA (SMOE_LNC001586)
Source: RNAcentral
GUCAGCGAGCCGAGCCGUAUCCCACACUGACAUAAAUCUCUGUGACUUGUUCUUGACAAGGUUAAUUGACUCGGUGGAGAUGGAAAUGGCGCAGGAACUGCUGGACGGACCGCUGCACGAAAUCAACAAAACCAGUAAGUAUAAUUUCCACUUCAACACCCAUCAGUGCAAGUACCUGCGAAGCCAAUGCUCGGUGGUCGAAGAAUACGUGCGGCUUUGGCAGAGCUGCUCCGAACUUAAGCCACUUCCCCUGGCCAUACAGGAGCUCGGUUGUAUGCUGAACAGAGCCUUGCAGCUUCUCAAGCAGUGCCAAGACGAGACAUGGCUAUACCAUGCUGCAGUCCGGCUCACUGAUUCCAGAGCCUUUGCGGAGAUCUGCUUGUGUCUGGGUAGAUUGACGGCCUUGGUCAAUGCUCACAUGAUGCAUUGCGCCACGGAUAUUGGGAGCCCGGGUGUGCAGUACCUCAUGGCCAUGCCUUACAAGCGCAAGCACAUAGAGAACCUGCGUUCAGCGAUGGAGGACCUGAGUCCCUGCACAUCAAGAGAUAGAAAGGAGCUCUUCAUGAGAGCAAAUUCCAUCACAGAAACUGACAACAGGUAUGUUCUGGCACAGUACCUUGUUAACAAGCUGAUGUCAAGCAGAGGAGGAGCCGUUGCCACCAUUCAGGCCCUCGAACUGAAAACUUUGAUAGGUUCGGGUGCAUUUGGUUCUGUGUACAAGGCUGAAUGGCUGGGGGCACCAGUUGCUGUGAAAGAGUUUAGAAGCGGUGAUGCUUCAUUCGACAAGGAGGUGAACAUCCUGAAAGAACUUAUUUUAGAACCGCACCCGAGCGUGCUUCAGAUGAUAGGAUACUAUCAGAAGGAUGAGAAGGCUUACCUUGUCAUGGAGCUGAUGGAAAGGGACCUGACCAGUGUCAUAAGGAAGGCUGAAGGCUCGCUGCAACUUUUAACUUCUGUAGACAUUAUGCUCCAGAUCGCAAGCGGCAUGAGCUACCUCCAUCAAAGGAAUGUGGUUCAUCGAGACCUCAAGCCUUCGAAUGUCCUAGUUAAGACAUUAAAGAACCAUGCCUGCACCACUUGUUUCGACGCGAGGUUAACAGACUUCGGAGUCUCAAAGUCGAACUUUAUAAGCUUUGCACCGGACUUGUCUUACCAAAGGGGGACGAUCCAAUACAUGGCUCCAGAGAUGCUGAGGGGCCAGAAGUACUCCAGAGAAGUUGACGUAUACAGCUUCGGAAUUACUUGCUUCCAGAUCCUGACUGGAACGCUGCCAUUUCAGGACGAUGGCAAGCAGCUGGUGGCAGAUAAACUGGUCGAGGCGAUCGAAGAUGGAAAUAGGCCUGACCUUCCAACAGGCUGUCCACUGGAGCUGGUUGUUCUCCUCAACAGGUGCUGGAACAGGAAUCCGAAAGAUAGACCAACCUUCGAACAGAUAUCCAGGAUGCUGUGGUCGCUAAAGGAAAGGUUGCUUGGUGGGUACAACCUCGAAUCCAGCUUCACAGGCAGUGAUAUGUCUAGUUGCAAAGCUGCCGAAGAGCUGACACUCGCUGCGGGAGAUAUGAUCUGCCAGAUCUCUGUUGCUGCUCCGUUCACAAAUUUUCACCAGUGCCACUUCUUGCAGUCGAGGUGCAAGCAGAUUUUCAGCUACCGGGAAUUUCCGACUAAGCUGGGACUUCGCUCAUGGUUUGCCGUUCAGAUAAAACUGGUGACUACCUUGAGAACUGCGUUGUCGCUGAUAGAGUCUUACAGUGAAGAUAGGUGGUUGCAUAUGGCAGUGCUGAACGAGCAUAACCCGUGGGCAUUCAGAAAAGCUCUUGACGAUAUCAACAGAUGUGAAACCACACUGAGAGCCAUAAACCCUGGUAACCACAGUGAUAACAUAAUGACGUUCCCUGCUGUUCCUGAGCAAUAUGUGGAAGAUGAUAAAAAGAGACUGGCAGAAAGCAUUAAAGGCUUACUCGAUGCAUCGGACGAGGCGACAGUUAAGUUGGCAAAAUAUUUAGUUCAAAAGUCAGCUGCUGAUUCAGUUUUUCCGUGCAUCAGUCCAGAGGAAAUCGUACUGCUCGAUUUUGUAGGAAUGUCAAACCAUGGGACGAUGUUUAGAGGAAGAUGGCUAGACGUACCUGUGAUGGUAAAAGCCCUUGGAACAGGAAAUGAAGCUGAAAAGCUCCUGAAGGAGCUUGACAAAGGGCACGCAGAACUUAGAAACAGGCCCCAUCCAAAUGUAACGCAAGUUUUCGGCUACACAAGGCACGGGAAAAACCUGUUCGUGGUGACCGAGCGGGUCUCUGGAGGCCACUUCCGAGUGACAAAGUUCCCUCUUGUAUUGACCAUCGAGAUCCUGCUUCAAGUUGCUCAAGGCGUGGCCUACUUGCACGAACAUAACUGUGAGCUCUCGGACUUGAAUACGCUGCUGGUGGAAUUUGAGAAAGGCCACUUCGACGAAUUCACCGGUGGCAUCACUAUCAAAGUUUCAGCUCGGUCCAACUUCAGAAAACGAGAUGGACAAAAGAGCUUGAGUACCUUGCCUGGAAGGUUGAAGUAUCCGUUCCACUUCCCCCAUGCACCAGUGGCGGACUUCAGGAAGACCGAUGCGUACAACUUUGGUAUAGCCUGCGUAGGAAUGAUCACCGGGCAAACCAUCGGGGAAGAAAUACUGCUCUCUGGAAAACUACCGCAACUCUCUCACGAUUGCACGGGAAUCAAGGCUGUAAUAGAGAAAUGCCUGAGUUCGCAGCCUCCUGACUUCCAUCAAAUCGUGGAACUCCUGCAAUCAGCUCAACUUAGAAUGGAGUUUCCACCUACAAGCGACAUAGACUACCGACGGAUGCUUCUGGACUCCAGGGCUCAAAUUGGACUCAAGCUCGACAUAACGGGAGACGCAGUAAUUGGUGGCAAGCUCAUUGCUGUUGGAAACGUAGACAAUGUGGGUAACAGGCUCUACCAGUGGAUCCGUCAGCACAAAGAUGGAACUAUAGAGCGGUUGCGGCCAUUUCUUGUGACGGAGUUGAACUCUGGGACACUGGAGUAUGAUCUAACAGCCGACGACUUCAACAAGGCAAUCUCACUCACUUGCGUGGAUAUGAACGAAAAGAUCGAAGUUUCCGGCAGAGAAACCACGAACAGUCGAUGGGUUUCCUAUAGUGACACUAUGAAGCGGGCGCUAAAGAUGAUAUGGGGAGCUGGCGAGGCCAAAUUCAAGGUUUUGCAGCUAAGGGAAGAAGAAGGGAGCAAGAAGAGCUACCUGGUGAUUAGAAGGCCGCAUUGCAUGGUGGAGUGGAAGCGCUACUACUUGAAAAGGAUGGAGAUCAAGAUCGCAUUCACCUCCCCGAGGGCCGGCAUCAAAAUAUCCGAGGAGAAUCUGCAAAUUUGCCAGCUGAUCGACAACGGCGGCAUGGAAGCCUGCAAGAUCCGAUUCAAGAACGCGUUCGAGAGAGAUUUGGCAGUGCUUACCUUCCGGCAUUUCUUGCGCAGCGCCUGUGAGAAGGGGAAGCGCUCGGGACGCCGAUGAAAUCGAUGAAAUAUGCUAGGAAAUCGCUAGAAAUUUUGCGAUGCGC